Molecule: long non-coding RNA, 565 nt
Organism: Pomacea canaliculata
Lineage: Eukaryota; Metazoa; Mollusca; Gastropoda; Architaenioglossa; Ampullariidae
Exons: 4
Source: RefSeq, a predicted model, not a curated record
AAAGUUGUCCUCUAGUAACCCCGUGGCCCCCAUCUGUACACACUAUAAAUGUGAUUGCAGUUGCACAGUGGCUACACUCCCACAGUAGAUCAUCGCAGGUUGUUACACAUCGUUGGACACGUACCAGGAUCGUUGCAGUGGUUCGUUAGGACUUGCAACACAAUGAAGACUGCGUACCUCGCUCUGGGUCUGUGUGUGCUGCUGAUGAUACAAGCGAUGGCGGCGGAGUCUCUAGACACCAAUGAAGACAACCUACAGGAACGGUCUUACUAUCGCAGGAGACGCCCAGGCAAGAAAUGGCCAGGAAAUACCAGAAGAAAGAGAUGCAGAUGUAGAUGCAGACGCCUACCGCGACCCUACCAAAGAGAACUUGCUAUGGACGAAAACCUUGAUGAAGAAUAGCUGGAGUGUACUUAUAUAUUAAGGAAACGAUCAUGACACACCUAAUUAAUGCCAUCUCUAAGUCUCUGUCAGAGCUGUCGACUCUGGAAGGUCAGCCUCACGACUCGCCAGUCAGAUUCUCAGUCUCUGGUGGUUAAUAAAAGCUUCUAUGUUUUGGCUUUUA